UACGUAGGCGGAAGAUUAAGUCAGUGGUGAAAUCCUGCAGCUUAACUGUAGAACUGUCAUUGAUACUGGUUUUCUUGAAUAUAGUUGAGGUAGGCGGAAUGUGUAAUGUAGCGGUGAAAUGCUGAGAUAUUACACAGAACACCGAUUGCGAAGGCAGCUUACUAAGCUAUGAUUGACGCUGAGGUACGAAAGCGUGGGGAGCGAACAGGAUUAGAUACCCUGGUAGUCC
RNAcentral lists this ribosomal RNA (229 nucleotides) under uncultured bacterium. Its description in RNAcentral is "partial 16S ribosomal RNA". It matches the Rfam family "Bacterial small subunit ribosomal RNA", at positions 568 to 796 of the family's 1533-position model. The record is from RNAcentral.